AUUGAACGCUGGCGGCAGGCUUAACACAUGCAAGUCGAGCGGGGUGAUGGUGCUUGCACUAUCACUUAGCGGCGGACGGGUGAGUAAUGCUUAGGAAUCUGCCUAUUAGUGGGGGACAACAUCUCGAAAGGGAUGCUAAUACCGCAUACGUCCUACGGGAGAAAGCAGGGGAUCACUUGUGACCUUGCGCUAAUAGAUGAGCCUAAGUCGGAUUAGCUAGUUGGUGGGGUAAAGGCCUACCAAGGCGACGAUCUGUAGCGGGUCUGAGAGGAUGAUCCGCCACACUGGGAAUGAGACACGGCCCAGACUCCUACGGGAGGCAGCAGUGGGGAAUAUUGGACAAUGGGGGGAACCCUGAUCCAGCCAUGCCGCGUGUGUGAAGAAGGCCUUAUGGUUGCAAAGCACUUUAAGCGAGGAGGAGGCUCUUUUGGUUAAUACCCAAGAUGAGUGGACGUUACUCGCAGAAUAAGCACCGGCUAACUCUGUGCCAGCCGCCGCAGUAA
RNAcentral lists this ribosomal RNA (503 nucleotides) under uncultured bacterium. RNAcentral describes it as "partial 16S ribosomal RNA". It matches the Rfam family "Bacterial small subunit ribosomal RNA", at positions 30 to 523 of the family's 1533-position model. The record is from RNAcentral.